Molecule: long non-coding RNA, 580 nt
Organism: Mustela lutreola (European mink)
Lineage: Eukaryota; Metazoa; Chordata; Mammalia; Carnivora; Mustelidae
Exons: 3
Source: RefSeq, a predicted model, not a curated record
GGCUCCCCACGAAGAGGCAGCUGCAGAACACAGAAGAGCCAGCAUCAGCUCCUCAGCCACCUGGGCCAUGGCGAGCCUUCCAACAAGCAAGAGCUCCCCUUUAGCAUGGCGACUCUUUUGUUGCAUCAGAAAAUCAAAGGACUGAGAGAGAUGGAACUCUUGCUUUCAGCUUUGUGGUGCCUAUACCUGGAACAAGACACAUGUCCCCCUUCUCUGUGAUGCUUACACCCUAAUGGUUCAGAUUCUAUGUAUUUAUCUGACAUGGAGAAAGCGAGUGAGAGUGCACAAUCGGGAGGGAGAAGCAGAUUCCCCACUGAGCAGGGAGCACGCCACAGGAAUUGAUCCCAGGACUCUGGGAUCAUGACCUGAGCCGAAGGCAGACGCUGGACAGACUGAGCCACCCAGGCACCUGGACAUUAUCUUUCACAUACGGAACAGCGAAGCAUCUGGAAGUGAUUUUUUAGGGAUGCUCUAAGAGAAGCAUCAGGAUUAAUUUUUUCUAUCAAAAUUUACUGAAAAUUUUAUUAAUCUCCCAACUCCCUUGCCUGCCAUGUCACCUUUAUCAUAAAUUAAAUGAUUG